AUUGAACGCUGGCGGCAUGCCUUACACAUGCAAGUCGAACGGCAGCACGGGUGCUUGCUCCUGGUGGCGAGUGGCGAACGGGUGAGUAAUACAUCGGCACAUGUCCUGUAGUGGGGGAUAGCCCGGCGAAAGCCGGAUUAAUACCGCAUACGAUCUACGGAUGAAAGCGGGGGACCUUCGGGCCUCGCCCUAUAGGGUUGGCCGAUGGCUGAUUAGCUAGUUGGUGGGGUAAAGGCCUACCAAGGCGACGAUCAGUAGCUGGUCUGAGAGGACGACCAGCCACACUGGGACUGAGACACGGCCCAGACUCCUACGGGAGGCAGCAGUGGGGAAUUUUGGACAAUGGGCGAAAGCCUGAUCCAGCAAUGCCGCGUGUGUGAAGAAGGCCUUCGGGUUGUAAAGCACUUUUGUCCGGAAAGAAAUCCUGGGCCCUAAUACGGUCGGGGGAUGACGGUACCGGAAGAAUAAGCACCGGCUAACUACGUG
This 486-nucleotide ribosomal RNA is filed under the name uncultured bacterium. RNAcentral describes it as "partial 16S ribosomal RNA". It matches the Rfam family "Bacterial small subunit ribosomal RNA", at positions 30 to 507 of the family's 1533-position model. The record is from RNAcentral.